This 196-nucleotide non-coding RNA is filed under the name Clostridium novyi. RNAcentral describes it as "T-box sequence". It matches the Rfam family "T-box leader". Rfam says of the family: Uncharged tRNA acts as the effector for transcription antitermination of genes in the T-box leader family. T-boxes are found upstream of many aminoacyl-tRNA synthetase genes and some amino acid biosynthetic genes usually in Gram-positive bacteria. The anticodon of a specific tRNA base pairs to a specifier sequence within the T-box motif, and the NCCA acceptor tail of the tRNA base pairs to a conserved bulge in the T-box antiterminator hairpin. The record is from RNAcentral. Lineage: Bacteria; Bacillati; Bacillota; Clostridia; Eubacteriales; Clostridiaceae.
UUUAAACCAUUGAAGAGAAUAGUAGCAAUAUAUUUUAGUUUUAGAGAGUGAAUGGGUGGUGCAAAUUCAUACUAAAAGUUUUGUGAAUCCAACUCUGAGGGAUUGUGAUAAACAAUACGGUAAAACCGUUAAUAUUUAAAGUGGGUUUAUUUAUAAACCAAUUAGGGUGGCAACGCGGAGUCCUUUCGUCCCUACA